Molecule: non-coding RNA, 305 nt
Organism: Fukomys damarensis (Damara mole-rat)
Lineage: Eukaryota; Metazoa; Chordata; Mammalia; Rodentia; Bathyergidae
Source: Rfam
UGGCGCCCAACGUGGGGCUCGAGAUACGGGGUCUUCACUUGGUGGACAUUGCUCGGAAGAUCGGCCGAUCGACCCCAGGACCACCGCCCACCCGGCGAGCUUGGAUCCAUGAACAGUCCACUCAGCAUAACCCGCCUGAGAAAGCGACCUGUGAAGUAAUUGAGCAAUGUGAGACAUGGGACAAGAAUUGAGCAAACAUCAAUUGUUCGUUGAGGGUUUAAAAUCCUCCUUAAAGAUGUGGGGAGUUUGGGUAAAAAAGAAAGAUUUAAUUAAAAUUUUUAAGUUUGUGGAAGAAACCUGUUCUU